This 253-nucleotide ribosomal RNA is filed under the name uncultured bacterium. RNAcentral describes it as "partial 16S ribosomal RNA". It matches the Rfam family "Bacterial small subunit ribosomal RNA", at positions 524 to 776 of the family's 1533-position model. The record is from RNAcentral.
UACAGAGGUGGCAAGCGUUGUUCGGAAUUACUGGGCGUAAAGGGCGCGUAGGCGGCCAUCUAAGUCAGACGUGAAAUCCCCCGGCUUAACCUGGGAACUGCGUCCGAUACUGGUGGGCUUGAAUCCGGGAGAGGGAUGCGGAAUUCCAGGUGUAGCGGUGAAAUGCGUAGAUAUCAGGAGGAACACCGGUGGCGAAGGCGGUUCGCUGGGCAUUACCUGACGCUGAGGCACGAAAGCGUGGGGAGCAAACAGG